This 1449-nucleotide ribosomal RNA is filed under the name uncultured organism. Its description in RNAcentral is "16S ribosomal RNA". It matches the Rfam family "Bacterial small subunit ribosomal RNA". The record is from RNAcentral.
GGCAGGCCUAACACAUGCAAGUCGAACGGUAACAGGAAGAAGCUUGCUUCUUUGCUGACGAGUGGCGGACGGGUGAGUAAUGUCUGGGAAACUGCCUGAUGGAGGGGGAUAACUACUGGAAACGGUAGCUAAUACCGCAUAACGUCGCAAGACCAAAGAGGGGGACCUUCGGGCCUCUUGCCAUCGGAUGUGCCCAGAUGGGAUUAGCUAGUAGGUGGGGUAAAGGCUCACCUAGGCGACGAUCCCUAGCUGGUCUGAGAGGAUGACCAGCCACACUGGAACUGAGACACGGUCCAGACUCCUACGGGAGGCAGCAGUGGGGAAUAUUGCACAAUGGGCGCAAGCCUGAUGCAGCCAUGCCGCGUGUAUGAAGAAGGCCUUCGGGUUGUAAAGUACUUUCAGCGGGGAGGAAGGGAGUAAAGUUAAUACCUUUGCUCAUUGACGUUACCCGCAGAAGAAGCACCGGCUAACUCCGUGCCAGCAGCCGCGGUAAUACGGAGGGUGCAAGCGUUAAUCGGAAUUACUGGGCGUAAAGCGCACGCAGGCGGUUUGUUAAGUCAGAUGUGAAAUCCCCGGGCUCAACCUGGGAACUGCAUCUGAUACUGGCAAGCUUGAGUCUCGUAGAGGGGGGUAGAAUUCCAGGUGUAGCGGUGAAAUGCGUAGAGAUCUGGAGGAAUACCGGUGGCGAAGGCGGCCCCCUGGACGAAGACUGACGCUCAGGUGCGAAAGCGUGGGGAGCAAACAGGAUUAGAUACCCUGGUAGUCCACGCCGUAAACGAUGUCGACUUGGAGGUUGUGCCCUUGAGGCGUGGCUUCCGGAGCUAACGCGUUAAGUCGACCGCCUGGGGAGUACGGCCGCAAGGUUAAAACUCAAAUGAAUUGACGGGGGCCCGCACAAGCGGUGGAGCAUGUGGUUUAAUUCGAUGCAACGCGAAGAACCUUACCUGGUCUUGACAUCCACAGAACCUUGUAGAGAUACGAGGGUGCCUUCGGGAACUGUGAGACAGGUGCUGCAUGGCUGUCGUCAGCUCGUGUUGUGAAAUGUUGGGUUAAGUCCCGCAACGAGCGCAACCCUUAUCCUUUGUUGCCAGCGGUCCGGCCGGGAACUCAAAGGAGACUGCCAGUGAUAAACUGGAGGAAGGUGGGGAUGACGUCAAAUCAUCAUGGCCCUUACGACCAGGGCUACACACGUGCUACAAUGGCGCAUACAAAGAGAAGCGACCUCGCGAGAGCAAGCGGACCUCAUAAAGUGCGUCGUAGUCCGGAUUGGAGUCUGCAACUCGACUCCAUGAAGUCGGAAUCGCUAGUAAUCGUGGAUCAGAAUGCCACGGUGAAUACGUUCCCGGGCCUUGUACACACCGCCCGUCACACCAUGGGAGUGGGUUGCAAAAGAAGUAGGUAGCUUAACCUUCGGGAGGGCGCUUACCACUUUGUGAUUCAUGACUGGGG